CAGGACUCGCAAGACUCCUACAACCCUGUGAACUUAACUAUAAGCACGUUGCUUCGGCGGGUGUCUCGGCGGAGGGUCCUCCACUGGGACCUGCGCAGGGGCGCGAAGCCCGCCGGCAGCCUACUAUACUCUGUCUCUUUGCGUUGGCAUCUCGAGUACAAAGCAAACAAGUUA
Molecule: unclassified non-coding RNA, 174 nt
Filed under: soil metagenome
Description: partial internal transcribed spacer 1
Source: RNAcentral